Molecule: ribosomal RNA, 235 nt
Filed under: uncultured bacterium
Lineage: Bacteria
Description: partial 16S ribosomal RNA
Rfam family: Bacterial small subunit ribosomal RNA
Source: RNAcentral
UGAGUAACCUGCCCUUAACUCUGGGAUAAGCCUGGGAAACUGGGUCUAAUACCGGAUAUGACUCCUCAUCGCAUGGUGGGGGGUGGAAAGCUUUAUUGUGGUUUUGGAUGGACCCGCGGCCUAUCAGCUUGUUGGUGAGGUAAUGACUCACCAAGGCGACGACGGGUAGCCGGCCUGAGAGGGUGACCGGCCACACGUGGGACUGAGACACGGCCAGACUCCGUACGGGAGGCAG